This 77-nucleotide transfer RNA is filed under the name Camelus ferus (Wild Bactrian camel). It matches the Rfam family "tRNA". Rfam says of the family: Transfer RNA (tRNA) molecules are approximately 80 nucleotides in length. The record is from Rfam by way of RNAcentral. Lineage: Eukaryota; Metazoa; Chordata; Mammalia; Artiodactyla; Camelidae.
GAAAGUGUGGCUCAAGUGGUAGAGCGCAUGCUUAGCACGCGUGAGGUCCUUCCUGGGUUCGAUCCCCAGUGCCUCCA